This 433-nucleotide ribosomal RNA is filed under the name uncultured microorganism. RNAcentral describes it as "bacterial SSU rRNA". It matches the Rfam family "Bacterial small subunit ribosomal RNA", at positions 346 to 795 of the family's 1533-position model. The record is from RNAcentral.
CGGCAGCAGCAGGGAAUAUUGUACAAUGGGCGAAAGCCUGAUACAGCGACGCCGCGUGGAGGAUGAAGGUCUUCGGAUUGUAAACUCCUUUUCUCAGGGAAGAACUAUGACGGUACCUGAGGAAUAAGUCACGGCUAACUACGUGCCAGCAGCCGCGGUAAUACGUAGGUGGCUAGCGUUAUCCGGAUUUAUUGGGCGUAAAGAGAGCGUAGGCGGCUCAUCAAGUCAGAUGUGAAAUCUCCUGGCUCAACUGGGAGGAGUCAUCUGAUACUGCUGGGCUUGAGGACAGUAGAGGGAGAUGGAAUUCCCGGUGUAGUGGUGAAAUACGUAGAUAUCGGGAGGAACACCAGUGGCGAAAGCGGUCUCCUGGGCUGUCCCUGACGCUCAUGCUCGAAAGCGUGGGGAGCGAACAGGAUUAGAUACCCUUGUAGUC